This 351-nucleotide unclassified non-coding RNA is filed under the name uncultured fungus. RNAcentral's name for it is "partial contains 5.8S ribosomal RNA and internal transcribed spacer 2". The stretch from base 1 to 135 matches the Rfam family "5.8S ribosomal RNA", at positions 22 to 154 of the family's 154-position model. Lineage: Eukaryota; Fungi. The record is from RNAcentral.
UGGCUCUGCCCUCGAUGAAGAACGCAGCGAAAUGCGAUACGUAAUGCGAAUUGCAGAUCUCCGCGAGUCAUUGAAUCUUUGAACGCACCUUGCGCCCGCCGGAUUUCUCCGGCGGGCAUGCCCGUUCGAGCGUCAUAUCCCUCCCCGAGCGCCCGCUCGGCGUUGGCGUGCCGCGGCUGCCGCGGACGCCCAAAGCUAGUGGCAGAGCUUGCAGACUUGGCGGCGCAGUAGGAAAGCCCGAGCCUUGUUGCCCGGGUCUCCGCCGCGAAGCCUGUGCGCAUCUAGCCGUAAACACCACGUGCUGCAAGGCGCGACACAGUGGACCUCGGAUCGGGUAGGAGUACCCGCUGA